GACGAACGCUGGCGGCGUGCUUAACACAUGCAAGUCGAACGCUGAAGCUCAGCUUUUGUUGGGUGGAUGAGUGGCGAACGGGUGAGUAACACGUGAGUAACCUGCCCCCUUCUUUGGGAUAACGCCCGGAAACGGGUGCUAAUACUGGAUAUUCACUGGUCUUCGCAUGGGGGUUGGUGGAAAGGGUUUUUCUGGUGGGGGAUGGGCUCGCGGCCUAUCAGCUUGUUGGUGGGGUGAUGGCCUACCAAGGCUUUGACGGGUAGCCGGCCUGAGAGGGUGACCGGUCACAUUGGGACUGAGAUACGGCCCAGACUCCUACGGGAGGCAGCAGUGGGGAAUAUUGCGCAAUGGGCGCAAGCCUGAUGCAGCGACGCCGCGUGAGGGAUGGAGGCCUUCGGGUUGUGAACCUCUUUCGCUCAUGGUCAAGCCGCAACAAUGGUUGUGGUGAGGGUAGUGGGUAAAGAAGCGCCGGCUAACUACGU
Molecule: ribosomal RNA, 482 nt
Filed under: uncultured bacterium
Lineage: Bacteria
Description: partial 16S ribosomal RNA
Rfam family: Bacterial small subunit ribosomal RNA
Source: RNAcentral